CAACGUUGGCUUCUGUUGAUCGCCGUCAGGAGAGACACCUUCGGAGCCACGCGCGCACACACACACGCACAAUCUUCCAUGGAUCUGGGAGGCUUUGCCUCUUUACACGAAAAACGAAAACAAAAGAAUCGAUAGGCAAUGCAAAACGCCCAUACAACUCCAUCACUCCCGCACGCCACGACUAUACAGAUUGAGGAAAACAUCGGCAACGGUCACUGGUUUUGGCUUCAUAAAAACAGCACAAAAAAAAAGAUUCACGGCACCGCCGCUGCAGCCUGGGCCCUGCAGCUCUAGCUCUCCCCCAUCGCGCCCAUCCGCCCCCUUCAUCGUUCGUCGCACACCUAGCAACCCCUGUUUUUGCAGUCUUGCCACAGCCGGCAUGUACAGAUGCACACGAGUGUACUGCGGCGUACUUGCCGUUCUUGUGGGAGAGCUCAAGAAGGUGCCGGCGUACGUCUUCUACAAGGCAAGGGAAGGCGCCAAGACGUAUGUCGACUCCGCAUCCAAAGCGAUUGAGUUUUUGAAAGGAGAGGACCCGAACGAGGACCCGGUCAUGCGUGGCAAGCGCCGCCAGCACAGAGAACUGUACCAGGCCGUCCUCCGCGAGCAAGCUUCAAAGGCGCAGGAGGAUGCGGCGCAAAGGCGCGCCAAUCUGUCAUGGAAAGAGAAGCUGCAGCUCUCCUUCAAGGAAGCGAGAGAAAGCGUGGCGCAGAUGACGUCGGCGAAGGCCGGAGUGAUGGCGCUGCUGCAGCACUGCACCGCCUCGCACACGGCCGAGGUGGCGCUGGAGCAAGGCAUCGAUGUCAAAAACGUGCAGAUGGUCUUUGAGAAGGCGGCGGCAAACAACUCGGUUGGCGUCGAAGAAAUUGUCGUUGGCUACAUCGAUGCACCAGGCGCCUCGCACGAGGAGGUGAUGGCGUUCGCCGAAAAGCUGCACAAGGUCUGCCCUGUGGCGAAAAGCAUGCAUAUCGAAUGGCGCCAAGGCAGCGCUGACUCGCGCAGGCACGAAGAUGGCUCCGUCCGCCGCGCCGAUGGGCUGCACUGUGAAAUGGAGCAGGCGGCCAGCGGUGUGGAGUGGGCUGAGAGGCGCACCGGCGGCCACCUCGGUGGUCCCUCUUCUGCCGCUGACGCCGCAUUGACGACAAGUGUCGAGAGUAUGCCGGCAGGGAUGCCAGGCUCCCGAAGGGCUCAUUCGUCGAUGUCGAGUUGGGCGGCCCGAGGCGGCGGCAGUGGCAGCCUGCGAGACGACGAAGACGAGCUGCAUUUUCCCGGCUUUGAGAGAAGGGGCGCAGCUUGGGAUUCCACGCGCUACGGCAGCAGCCGUGCCAAAGAGCCAUCAACGGAGACGAGCGCUGCUAGCUAUCCGCCACCGCCACCUGAAUCAACGUCUGCCGCGACGACACAGCCGGGGGCAUGUAGCAGCGACCCGGCUUCCUCCUCGCCGUCUCCGAAGCCCUGAAGCAGCUCUCAUCAAGCAACAAGGCGGGGAAAAGAGCGAAUGACAUGCGCGUCGGCACACCCAGUUGCAUUGUCGAGUCACAAGGCUUUUCUUUGUGCGUAUACGGUGUUUGGCUCGUGAUGUGCACAUAAACGUAUGUGUCGGUUGUGGUGGUGGUGGUUGUUUGUGUGUGUGGGUGUGUGUAUGUGUGCAGCGGGUGGCUCGCGCUCCUGAUCCCGCUGACCGGAACGACACAUGAAACGCAUGUCCCAACUUUUGUGUUCUUCGACGCUUUUGUGGUGGUAGUUGGCUUUGUCGCACCCCCUCUUCGCGCCUGGCCUACGCUACCUCUGUUCCUCGUUCCGGGUCGCAGUGUCCAUUCACAGAUGUGCCGAGCACACAUACAUACAG
Molecule: unclassified non-coding RNA, 1849 nt
Filed under: Leishmania donovani
Lineage: Eukaryota; Euglenozoa; Kinetoplastea; Trypanosomatida; Trypanosomatidae
Description: gene:LdHU3.34.2180(CDS-product:OsmC-like_protein_ putative)
Source: RNAcentral